GGGAACCAGCAGAGGGCACUUCAGGCUUUGCUUYUGUGGAUCCUGCAGCAAUGACUGCUUGGAAUAGUUAAAGGCAAGCUGGCUGGUUUAGGGAACAGUCUCUCCCGAGGAACCUUUAUUUGGGCAGUAUCCACUUGCARUAGGACAUGCCUGUGCUGGGCCUUCGAUCCCAAAAUCCAGCCCAGCAGCACAUCCACAGGGCCAUCAGCUGAAUGGGUUCCAGGUUCCAUCUGAAGUCCCAAUAUUUGCCUGGAAAUCCAUAGGAGAAGCAGGCGGGCCCGCUCAGAGUGUUGUAAAUUAGUUCCAGUCUCCACGAGCCUGCUGUGACUAAUUGAUGUGACCUGGAAGUGGAUAAAGUCCAUAACAGUAAGAUCAACUUUUCCUCUGGUAAUUUGACAAAUAGAGCCCUUUUUUAAAGUCCUGUGUAGGCUCCGUUCCCCAUUUGUUCUGUCGUGAUGGGCAUCGUUUCCGUGUUGGAGUGAUAAUGAUUUUCCAGAUUUCUGCUGAUUUGUAGAGCAGGUGCCUUUAUUUAUUAAUGCCAGAAGAAGGGAGAGACUCAACAGCACCAACAAAAACAGGAUUCCUGGCAGYAGCUGGAUAUCAAAGCCAUUCCCUAUCCAGUUACCUUGCUGGUUUCCCUCCUCCUGCACUACAGGGAUGUGCAGGAAGGCCGGUGGUUUGCAGAGUCGCUCCAGCUCAUUAAUUUCCUACAGCCAGAGGGAAAUCAGGAAAUCUCAGUGYUGUGUGGGCUUUGACUCUUGCAGAAGGGGCUGCUGGAAUGGGACCUGCGCAGUGGAAGCUCCUGGAAACUCCAUGUUGCUGCCUAGUUAAUUUUUUAAGAAAAACUUUAGGCAGUCCCUGUAAGUAUGCAAUUGACUGCAAGUAAAUCCAUGCUGCUUUUUGCAUGGGCRGGGAUUUAAGGAAUUUCUCUGUCUCCAGCCCCUUCCAAGCCGGCAUCCCACCCAUCCUCUCCCAUCCCCACCAACUCUUGUCGUGCUCCAAAAUAGUCUCAYUGUGACUAUAAUUCCCCCCCAGGGGAGUCCAGUCCCUAUUUAUUUGUGCUCCAGUGGGAUGUGAACCUUGGUCUUCCAGGGUGAAAGGUUGAGGGAUGAGUGUCUUGUUUACCUGUGCUUUUCAGAGAAUGUUUUCCUUUAAUCUAUUAAGCAGACACACCAUUUUGUCCCGUGGUGUGCAACGGGAUCGUUAACCAUGCGCUUAAUUACUACCAAACCACAUCUGAGUGCCCGAUGGCAGCAGGCAGGAGGGUCUAGCAAGGCUCCUUCACCUCAGGGUUUAAUAGAAUCAUCUUUCUAUGAGUUCCUGCGACAUCUCCCUGAUUUAUACACGGCUUGAGUGAUGGAUAAAACCACAUUGGAUAGUUUCACAUCAACUCUGAACCGAUAGCUGAGGGCAAACUGGGAGUGAAUGAAGAGAAACCAAAUUGUCAGUGGAUCUUAAAAUCCAAAUUGGAGCCUUUGGAAGGUUAUUUUCAAUACCAAAAAUCCAAAUCGGAUUUUUUGGRAGGUUAUUUUAAAAACCCCAAGACCUGAGUUAAUUCAACCACUGUAGCACUGCUGCCUUUAACACACCUGAGGAUUUCUCUUCUCUGAAGCUCUUAUGCUCAGACAUUCACAUCCCAAAGGUGACAUUUGGGCUUAAUUUUUUGGCAGUGCUGCAGAACUGUUGUAUACAUUAAUCAGCCAAGGUAUAGGGCUCGGGCACAUCCUCCACCAGGCACAGACACAAUAGCAUGGAGAAAGCCCAGCAAACACAGCUGGUGAACAUAUUUACCAUCCACUGGUUAGUCACACUUGUGGAGUUUUAAUUGAAUUACCUUUGACAGUGAGCAGCAAACCUGGUGGGUGAUCUACUAAAUUUAACUGAUGAAUGGGCUCCCUAAAAUCAAUUAGCAUCCAGGGCUGGGAGCAUGAACACAUCCGUCGCUCGGCGGGACGGGAGCGGGCUCGGAAUGACAGCAGCAAAUGUUGGCCAAGUGAAAGCACGGAUCUCCUGCCGCCGCUGACCCCUGCUCCCCACAUGAAAGAAAAACAGGAGCCUAACAGGAGCUGAAAGAAUCCGACAGUAAAUCAUUUAAGCCCUGUUUUGCACAACUGAUACAGGAUGCUUCUAAACUGCUUGAUUAAUGCUGUGCAGUAUAUUAAAAGCAGGACGUGGCAGAGCGAGGAGUCUGUGGCCAAGCACCAGCUCCACAAACACCAUCUGCUCGCUUAAUUAUUUUUGGGAGAUUYGGGAUAGCGGGGAGCCAGGAGAGAGUUAGAAACGGCCUUUCCUUUCGUUACAGCGAUCGGGCCCUGUCUGUGGGCACACAGAAGCCCCCCCAGUCUUCAGGUUGUUUGUUAUGUGAAUAAUCAAGCAAUGGCAAAAUGCAGGCUGGAGGUUCCUCUGACCUUUGGCUCGGCGCAACCCGACCCUGCGCGGGGCUCAGGCGG
Molecule: long non-coding RNA, 2450 nt
Organism: Malurus melanocephalus (red-backed fairy wren)
Lineage: Eukaryota; Metazoa; Chordata; Aves; Passeriformes; Maluridae
Exons: 3
Source: RefSeq, a predicted model, not a curated record